UUCGUAGGUGACCUGCGGAGGAUCAUUACCGGGCUCAGGGGGGAAAACCCCCCGAACUCCCAACCCUUGCUUACCUACCACGUUGCUUCGGGGGACGUCAGUCCCCCGGAGGUCAAUCAAACUCUCGUUUACAGACGUCAGAGCGAAUGCGAAAAUAAGUAAAAACUUUCAACAACGGAUCUCUUGGUUCUGGCAUCGAUGAAGAACGCAGCGAAAUGCGAUAAGUAAUGUGAAUUGCAGAAUUCAGUGAAUCAUCGAAUCUUUGAACGCACAUUGCGCCCCUUGGUAUUCCGAGGGGCAUGCCUGUCCGAGCGUCAUUUCACCAAUCGAGCCCCGCUCGGUAUUGGGCCUCGUCCCCACAGGACGGGCCUCGAAGACCCCGGCCGCGCGGUCCCGCUUCAGGCGUAGCAGAGCUUUCGCAGCCUCGCCUUGGAAGCGUGUCCGUGCCGCGCCGAACGACGAACCCCUUUCUAUCAAGGUUGACCUCGGAUCAGGUAGGGAUACCCGCUGAACUUAAGCAUAUCAAUAAGCGGAGGAA
RNAcentral lists this ribosomal RNA (538 nucleotides) under Ascomycota sp. CH-Fn22. RNAcentral describes it as "eukaryotic LSU rRNA". The stretch from base 164 to 317 matches the Rfam family "5.8S ribosomal RNA". The record is from RNAcentral. Lineage: Eukaryota; Fungi; Ascomycota.